Long non-coding RNA from Malaclemys terrapin pileata, 1685 nucleotides. RefSeq lists it as uncharacterized. The record is from RefSeq and is a predicted model, not a curated record. The transcript has 2 exons. NCBI's taxonomy places the organism in Eukaryota, Metazoa, Chordata, Testudines, Emydidae.
CGGAAGCGGGAGCAGGCUGGGCGAGCCGAGCCGAGGCCUAUCUGGGCUGAGCCGGGCGGGAGCAGGCUGGGGGGCCGAGGCGAGGCCUAGCCGGGCUGAGCUGAGCCGGGCCGGGCGGGUUGAUCCCCGGGAAGCGGCCCCAGCCGCACGAAUGAAGAGCUAAGGGAAGUGGCUGGUGCUGGUUUAAUGGGCUCCGAGGUCCGGCUCCUGCUCCGCGGGGGUGUCUCUGCUGGGGGGGUCUCUCCAGCUCCCUGCUGCUCACGCAGCCUGUGGCCACUGCUGCACUACAGCUGCCCAGCUACCGGCUGCAGGUCUGGCUAACAGUUUCAUGUUCAGAUGUCUGUUCACAUGGAGCACAAUGGAAUAAUUGGAGCAUCAAAUCCAACACAGUAUCUUUGUAAGACUUGGGUGGGGAUUUUAGAGCAAUACUGAAUGCUUAAAGGAUGUAACCAGUUAAGUAAAGCCUGCUUCAUUAGAAAGAGGUGCCGGGGUAGAAAAAGAUUUAUUAUUUUGCUACUUAAAACAAUCAUUGAAGUGCAAAUAGACUCAAGUUCCAGUGUCAUAUACAGUAAUUCACUUAACGUUGUAGUUAUGUUCCUGAAAAAUGCUACUUUAAGUGAAAUGAUGUUAAGCGAAUCCAAUUUCCCCAUAAGAAUUAAUGUAAAGUGUGGGGGGUUAGGUUCCAGGGAAACUUUUUUCACCAGACAAGACAUCCUAUUCAUAUACUGUGUGUGUAAAAUAAAUAAAAAAUAAACUUUAAACAAAAUUUAAUACUGUACAUAACAAUGAUGACAGCAUGGCAGAAAGAGACAGACACACACAUGUGUAAGAGAGAGAUGCGCAUUGCCCCUUUAGGUACGCUGACCCCACUCUAAGUACACUGCUGGCAGCAGCUGCUGUCUCAACUUGCUGAUCUACUUAAAAAGGCAAGCUCCUUCCAUCCUGAGCCCUGUCAUAGCCCCCUGCUCUGUGGGGAACUUACGGGAGCUGAUGGGGGGUCCACCCUGGUUCCAAGCCCCCACCAGCUAGCUCCAACAGGCUGCUCUUUCUGAAAGCAGUGGCCAGAGCAGGUGGCUGCUUAAUAACAUAAGGGAGCAUUGCGCAACUUUAAAUGAGCAUGUUCUCUAAUUGAUCAGCAACAAAACAAUGUUCACCGGGAUGACUUUAGUGAAGAGUUACUGUACUAACUUUAAAAUUAUAUAAAUUUUAGGUCAAGACACUAAUGAAUCACUGAUUUAAAAUUAACGUAAAAGGUUCAAAGUCCAUAGGACUAAGCAUAAUUCAACAGAAAUGUCAGUGAUCAGUCAUGGGCUGCAAUAAGGAGACAAAUUGUUUUUUUCACUUGUGCUAGCUGAGAGUGAGGAGCACUAUUGGACACCAAAAGACCCUGGCAAAAAAUUAACCCUAAAACCACCUUUUCAAUAAACACUCUAGCCCCAGUCUGGUAGCCUUUAUUUACAUGAGCAGUCCCACUGGAGUUGGUGGGACUAUGUUUGUAGAUCGGUGUAAUCAAGCCUUCUGGGGCUGGCCAUGUUGUAAGGUUGUAUUGUUCUCCUGGAGCAUCUUGCUUAUCAAUUUUUCAGAAAAAAUGUAAUAACUGUUGGGAAAUAUUUGCUGAAUCAAGAUGUAAUGGAUGAUAUGAAUUAAUUCCAAAUCUGAGCUAUAUUAAAGCCUUGUAAAAUCUA